RNAcentral lists this ribosomal RNA (466 nucleotides) under Vreelandella stevensii. RNAcentral's name for it is "partial 16S ribosomal RNA". It matches the Rfam family "Bacterial small subunit ribosomal RNA", at positions 338 to 795 of the family's 1533-position model. The record is from RNAcentral. Lineage: Bacteria; Pseudomonadati; Pseudomonadota; Gammaproteobacteria; Oceanospirillales; Halomonadaceae.
CCUACGGGUGGCUGCAGUGGGGAAUAUUGGACAAUGGGCGAAAGCCUGAUCCAGCCAUGCCGCGUGAGUGAAGAAGGCCUUCGGGUUGUAAAGCACUUUCAGUGGGGAAGAAAGCCUUGGGGCUAAUACCCUCGAGGAAGGACAUCACCCACAGAAGAAGCACCGGCUAACUCCGUGGCCAGCAGCCGCGGUAAUACGGAGGGUGCGAGCGUUAAUCGGAAUUACUGGGCGUAAAGCGCGCGUAGGCGGUCUGAUAAGCCGGUUGUGAAAGCCCCGGGCUCAACCUGGGAACGGCAUCCGGAACUGUCAGGCUAGAGUGCAGGAGAGGAAGGUAGAAUUCCCGGUGUAGCGGUGAAAUGCGUAGAGAUCGGGAGGAAUACCAGUGGCGAAGGCGGCCUUCUGGACUGACACUGACGCUGAGGUGCGAAAGCGUGGGUAGCAAACAGGAUUAGAUACCCCGGUAGUC